Molecule: non-coding RNA, 2211 nt
Organism: Drosophila melanogaster (fruit fly)
Lineage: Eukaryota; Metazoa; Arthropoda; Insecta; Diptera; Drosophilidae
Source: Ensembl
GAAGUACAAAUAUUUGCGGUUGUUCCUGUUCACUGCACUACUCCAGCUCAAAACACCCAGUGAUGCCAGAAUCUAUUCUCACCUUUGUGCUAAUCGCUAUGCACAACAUAAAUCCAGUUUGGAAAAAAGCUGAAGCGACUCAGAACCCCGUUUCCCACUCCUUCCAACAGAUGUUGUUGGCUCAGAGCUCAGGAUUGAGGGCUCAUAGCUGAGAGUCCAGGUCGAAUGGGUGGGUAUUGUUUGCUUUUGUCGACUUUUUGUGAAAUCCUGAUGGAAGCAAUUGUUUAUGCAUUAAAUAAGCCGAUGCCGAGUAGAGCAAAGCAUAGAGGACCUAGAGAUGAGCACCGGAGAUACUCACUUGGUAGACAACUGACAAAAUAUGUAGCACAAUGGCUGAUGGGUAAACAGCAAGUGGGAUGGGGAGGAACAGCUUAGCAAAUCUCAAAUCUGACAGACAGUCAAAUACAAUGGCACUUAGGGGCUGGCCCGGCCCUACCCAGGGGUGAAUUUCCGAACUUCGAGUGUGAGUUUCGCCCCGAAACUCCUUAAGGCCUCUGCACAUUUAUGAUAAAUAUCUAAUUCCAUGAUGGACAGCUCUCAGUAAGAAGGAAACUGCUCGUCAGGGGAUUAGGCCCUCGUUCACAGUCUCAACUACCAGAUUGUUAUCACACGCAAUUUUGUAAUUUGAUGAAAACAAACGAAUUAAGAUACAGAUCGCAAAAAAGAAAAAAAAAAACCCGGUAGUUCCAGACACCAAACAAUACAAGUGACGAGCCAUCGUACCCCCAAUUCGGUUAAUCCCCUGCAAUUGGUAUCGUAUGCGGUAUGGUUUAGUUCUGUCGGUUUAGGUUCACACAACUGUGAAAUUUGAUGCAGACACAAGAUGAAGGUAACACGAUAUGCAUCACCGUGCACCUAUUGUUGUGCAGAUCUGGUAGCCACUGAUUAGUCCGGGCAUCUGUUAAGCCAGAAGGCAACAGUGCUCUACAAUAGGUAUACUCGAAUGUACCUGGUUUAUUCACUUGGGCGUCACCAAAACUGCAAACUAAUUGGGUGCACUUCGUUUCCCACAGGGGGGUACUUUAUAUUACCCAUUGAUCAGGGAGUUUCGUGACAGAAAUUCAAUUAAAUCAAAAUUAAUGUAUGCAAAUAGGGUAUUGUAUAGAAAUCACCCCAAAAUUAAAUGGAAUCGAAAGAAUUCUCCUCGAUAUCUCUAAGUCAGCCGAUCGUACAUAAAAAAGCAAAUCCAAACCAAUGUGAGUUAAGCCAUUUAGGUUAUUAAAGUUUAAGUUUUAACAAUUUUAACUUACCCUCCACGGUCUGUUUCUCAGCAGUUGUAUUCCAACUUAAGGCUCAUACCCAUCGUGCAUACCAUUUAUUUCGAUUAUAAUGGCCCACAUAUCAUUGAUAGAUCGAUCAAAUGUGGAACACUGGUAGCUGGCAGCCGAUGUAAUCGAACGUGAUCUCUCACAGGCCCCACAGGCCACAAAUUAAUCUAUAUGAGUCGCUGCCGCCACCUUGGACAAAAGGAAGAAAAAGAAGUUGCUUUAAUGAAGCAUAUGUGUCGGCUUUUGGACAAAAGAGCGGGCAGUUCGAGACGAGGCAUACAAUUUUUAUGAUUAAUCACAAGAUCGAUGAGAAAAUUAUGCUCAUGACAAAAGGCCGGGCCAGAAGCGGGCAUUAAUCUGCAUUUUCUAGGCCCCAUCGUGAGCGAGAUGACAAAGCGUUUAUGGCGCAUAUAAUUAUUGGUUGCCGCCAAAGAUCAGAUGAGAAACGGACUCUCAAGUGGCAGGAAAUGCCACACAAUUUGCCUUAUUUCCCCUCCACUCCACCGGGACUAUUCUACUUCACUCGUGGGACCUGAGUGGAGAUAAUGUCUUAAGUAUCGGCGACCAAAAUGUCAUUAAUGUCAAGUGCUUAUAAUGACUGGUAAGAUGUUUUGUGAAAAAGUCUUUCAAUCUUGAAAGACUUGACUGGAGGCAUGCAUAAUUUGCUUAUAUCCAGUGGCUACUGUUCCGAUCGAGUCUAUGGGAGGCAAUUACGAGUGCUGUGAUUACGCGAUACGCUCCAUUAUUAAGCGUAUUUGUCGGCUCAGUUCAAAAAUGGCCACACAAUCAAUUACAGUCACCUUUUCAUUGAUUCCCAGCUGAGGCUGUCUUUGAACAACUUUUUCCUGUCUGCACACACUCGAAAUGUUACUCUGUACUGUAU